ACAAGCGUACACGGUGGAUGCCCUGGCAGUCAGAGGCGAUGAAGGACGUGCUAAUCUGCGAAAAGCGCCGGUAAGGUGAUAUGAACCGUUACAGCCGGCGAUGUCCGAAUGGGGAAACCCAGUGUGAUUCGUCACACUAUCUCAGCAUGAAUACAUAGUGCUGUGAGGCGAACCGGGGGAACUGAAACAUCUAAGUACCCCGAGGAAAAGAAAUCAACCGAGAUUCCCCCAGUAGCGGCGAGCGAACGGGGAACAGCCCAGAGCCUGAAUCAGCUUGUGUGUCAGUGGAACGGUCUGGAAAGGCCGGCGAUACAGGGUGACAGCCCCGUACACGAAGGCACACAGGCUGUGAGCUCGAUGAGUAGGGCGGGACACGUGAUAUCCUGUCUGAAGAUGGGGGGACCAUCCUCCAAGGCUAAAUACUCCUGACUGACCGAUAGUGAACCAGUACCGUGAGGGAAAGGCGAAAAGAACCCCGGCGAGGGGAGUGAAACAGAACCUGAAACCGUGUACGUACAAGCAGUGGGAGCCUUCGUAAGAGGGUGACUGCGUACCUUUUGUAUAAUGGGUCAGCGACUUAUAUUCUGUAGCAAGGUUAACCGCAUAGGGGAGCCGAAGGGAAACCGAGUCUUAAUUGGGAGUUAAGUUGCAGGGUAUAGACCCGAAACCCGGUGAUCUAGCCAUGGGCAGGUUGAAGGUUGGGUAACACUAACUGGAGGACCGAACCGACUAAUGUUGAAAAAUUAGCGGAUGACCUGUGGCUGGGGGUGAAAGGCCAAUCAAACCGGGAGAUAGCUGGUUCUCCCCGAAAGCUAUUUAGGUAGCGCCUCGUGAACUCAUCUUCGGGGGUAGAGCACUGUUUCGGCUAGGGGGCCAUCCCGGCUUACCAACCCGAUGCAAACUACGAAUACCGAAGAAUGUUAUCACGGGAGACACACGGCGGGUGCUAACGUCCGUCGUGAAGAGGGAAACAACCCAGACCGCCAGCUAAGGUCCCAAAGUCAUGGUUAAGUGGGAAACGAUGUGGGAAGGCACAGACAGCCAGGAUGUUGGCUUAGAAGCAGCCAUCAUUUAAAGAAAGCGUAAUAGCUCACUGGUCGAGUCGGCCUGCGCGGAAGAUGUAACGGGGCUAAACCAUGCACCGAAGCUGCGGCAGCGACACUAUGUGUUGUUGGGCAGGGGAGCGUUCUGUAAGCCUGUGAAGGUGUGCUGUGAGGCAUGCUGGAGGUAUCAGAAGUGCGAAUGCUGACAUAAGUAACGAUAAAGCGGGUGAAAAGCCCGCUCGCCGGAAGACCAAGGGUUCCUGUCCAACGUUAAUCGGGGCAGGGUGAGUCGACCCCUAAGGCGAGGCCGAAAGGCGUAGUCGAUGGGAAACAGGUUAAUAUUCCUGUACUUGGUGUUACUGCGAAGGGGGACGGAGAGGGCUAUGUUGGCCGGGCGACGGUUGUCCCGGUUUAAGCGUGUAGGUGUGUGUUCCAGGUAAAUCCGGUUCACUUUAACACUGAGGCGUGAUGACGAGGCACUACGGUGCUGAAGUAACAAAUGCCCUGCUUCCAGGAAAAGCCUCUAAGCAUCAGGUAACAUCAAAUCGUACCCCAAACCGACACAGGUGGUCAGGUAGAGAAUACCAAGGCGCUUGAGAGAACUCGGGUGAAGGAACUAGGCAAAAUGGUGCCGUAACUUCGGGAGAAGGCACGCUGACAUGUAGGUGAAGCCCCUGCGGGUGGAGCUGAAGUCAGUCGAAGAUACCAGCUGGCUGCAACUGUUUAUUAAAAACACAGCACUGUGCAAACACGAAAGUGGACGUAUACGGUGUGACGCCUGCCCGGUGCCGGAAGGUUAAUUGAUGGGGUUAUCGCAAGAGAAGCUCCUGAUCGAAGCCCCGGUAAACGGCGGCCGUAACUAUAACGGUCCUAAGGUAGCGAAAUUCCUUGUCGGGUAAGUUCCGACCUGCACGAAUGGCGUAAUGAUGGCCAGGCUGUCUCCACCCGAGACUCAGUGAAAUUGAACUCGCUGUGAAGAUGCAGUGUACCCGCGGCAAGACGGAAAGACCCCGUGAACCUUUACUACAGCUUGACACUGAACAUUGAGCCUUGAUGUGUAGGAUAGGUGGGAGGCUUUGAAGCGUGGACGCCAGUCUGCGUGGAGCCAACCUUGAAAUACCACCCUUUAAUGUUUGAUGUUCUAACCUGGCGCCGUGAUCCGGCGUGGGGACAGUGUCUGGUGGGUAGUUUGACUGGGGCGGUCUCCUCCCAAAGUGUAACGGAGGAGCACGAAGGUCAGCUAAUCCUGGUCGGACAUCAGGAGGUUAGUGCAAUGGCAUAAGCUGGCUUGACUGCGAGAGUGGCGGCUCGAGCAGGUGCGAAAGCAGGUCAUAGUGAUCCGGUGGUUCUGUAUGGAAGGGCCAUCGCUCAACGGAUAAAAGGUACUCCGGGGAUAACAGGCUGAUACCGCCCAAGAGUUCAUAUCGACGGCGGUGUUUGGCACCUCGAUGUCGGCUCAUCACAUCCUGGGGCUGAAGUAGGUCCCAAGGGUAUGGCUGUUCGCCAUUUAAAGUGGUACGCGAGCUGGGUUUAGAACGUCGUGAGACAGUUCGGUCCCUAUCUGCCGUGGGCGCUGGAGAAUUGAGGGGGGCUGCUCCCAGUACGAGAGGACCGGAGUGGACGCAUCACUGGUGUUCGGGUUGUCAUGCCAAUGGCACUGCCCGGUAGCUAAAUGCGGAAGAGAUAAGUGCUGAAAGCAUCUAAGUACGAAACUUGCCCCGAGAUGAGUUCUCCCUGACUCCUUGAGAGUCCUGAAGGAACGUUGAAGACGACGACGUUGAUAGGCCGGGUGUGUAAGCGCAGCGAUGCGUUGAGCUAACCGGUACUAAUGAACCGUGAGGCUUAACC
This 2891-nucleotide ribosomal RNA is filed under the name Cronobacter dublinensis subsp. lactaridi LMG 23825. RNAcentral describes it as "bacterial LSU rRNA". It matches the Rfam family "Bacterial large subunit ribosomal RNA". The record is from RNAcentral. Lineage: Bacteria; Pseudomonadati; Pseudomonadota; Gammaproteobacteria; Enterobacterales; Enterobacteriaceae.